CUACGGGUGGCUGCAGUGGGGAAUAUUGGACAAUGGGCGCAAGCCUGAUCCAGCCAUGCCGCGUGUGUGAAGAAGGCCUUAGGGUUGUAAAGCACUUUCAGUAGGGAGGAAAGGGGAUUGGCUAAUAUCCAAUGUCUGUGACGUUACCUACAGAAGAAGCACCGGCUAACUCCGUGCCAGCAGCCGCGGUAAUACGGAGGGUGCAAGCGUUAAUCGGAAUUACUGGGCGUAAAGCGCACGCAGGCGGUCAACUAAGUCAGAUGUGAAAUCCCCGGGCUCAACCUGGGAAUGGCAUUUGAAACUGGUUGACUAUAGUUUCGUAGAGGGGGGUAGAAUUCCAGGUGUAGCGGUGAAAUGCGUAGAGAUCUGGAGGAAUACCAAUGGCGAAGGCAGCCCCCUGGACGGUAACUGACGCUCAGGUGCGAAAGCGUGGGGAGCAAACAGGAUUAGAUACCCCUGUAGUC
Molecule: ribosomal RNA, 464 nt
Filed under: uncultured bacterium
Lineage: Bacteria
Description: partial 16S ribosomal RNA
Rfam family: Bacterial small subunit ribosomal RNA
Source: RNAcentral